CGCCCAGCUAACCCUCCUCCCAUUUCCCCUCUGGCCAGGACGCGGGAGGAGCGAGGGACGCCCGCACUCACCGAUGGCUCCGUGGCCUCCCGGCAACACCUCCGCGGUCUCUGCGUGGCCCGACAGCCCCACGUUGGCACCCACUAGCGCCAACACGAGCGGGGGGCUGCCAGGGGUGCCGUGGGCGGCGGCGGCGUUGGCCGGGGCGCUGUUAGCACUGGCCACGGUGGCAGGCAACCUGCUGGUCAUCGUGGCCAUCGCUCGGACGCCCAGACUGCAGACCAUGACCAACGUGUUCGUGACUUCCCUGGCCUCAGCUGAUCUGGUCGUGGGCCUAGUGGUCGUGCCUCCGGGGGCCACCCUUGCGCUGACCGGCCACUGGCCCCUGGGCGCCACCGGCUGCGAGCUGUGGACCUCGGUGGACGUGCUGUGCGUGACGGCCAGCAUCGAAACCCUGUGCGCUCUGGCUGUGGACCGCUAUCUGGCCGUCACCAACCCUCUACGUUACGGUGCGCUGGUCACCAAGCGCCGCGCCCGGGCGGCCGUAGUCGUGGUGUGGGUGGUGUCGGCCGCGGUGUCGUUCGUGCCCAUCAUGAGCCAGUGGUGGCGCGUAGGGGCGGACGCCGAGGCGCAGCGCUGCCACUCUAACCCGCUUUGCUGCGCCUUCGCCUCCAAUCUGCCCUACGCGCUGCUCUCUUCUUUUGUGUCCUUCUACGUGCCGCUGCUGGUGAUGCUCUUCGUCUACGCGCGGGUCUUCCUCGUGGCCACUCGCCAGCUGCGCCUGCUGCGCGGCGAGCUGGGUCGCUUCCCGCCGGAGGAGUCCUCACCGCCGCCUCAGUUGCGCUCUCGGUCUUUGGCCGCCGAGACGGAGGGGACGUGCCCGGCGCUCGCAGGGGUUCCCCCCUCCUGCGUUCGGAGGCCGGCGCGCCUCCUGCCUCCGCGGGAACACCGGGCCCUGCGCACACUGGGGCUCAUCAUGGGCACCUUCACCCUCUGCUGGCUGCCCUUCUUUCUGGCCAACGUGCUGCGCGCCCUCGGGGGCCCUGCGCUCGUCCCCAGCCCGGCCCUCCUCGCCCUCAACUGGCUGGGCUAUGCCAACUCUGCCUUCAACCCGCUCAUCUACUGUCGCAGCCCAGACUUCCGCUGCGCCUUCCGCCGUCUGCUCUGUGGCUGCCCGCGCAGGGAGCCCCGCGCCGCCGUAGCCUCCAGGGCGCCGGAGCCCUCGUGCGCUCCGGCCGCUCAUACCGGCCCAGCCGAGUCCAGGCCUUGUUCGCAGCUCCACAGGUGGGUCACCGCGGCGGAGGGCCCCGCAGCUGGGAGGCAGAAGUUUUGGUCAACUGUCGCGUGUUUGGGGGUUCAGCAGGAAAAGCGGGAAGCUUGGAAAGCCUCUCCAUGGGGGAGAAGUGGAGGCACCGGGAGUCCCUUUGUGCCGCGGGUUCAGCGCCUGGGGCCAAAGCUACGGGAGGGCGAGUUGGUUGGUCUUCUUCAUCCCAGACCCCAAGGCGCGCCCUCUCUGCCUUAAGCCACCCUCCUCUCCAGUUAGUGGAACCCUUUCCGGAGCCCCUGGCGCCAACUGGGGGCCUCAGUUUGGGUUUCUCUCCAAGGCUCGGUGGCUACCAAGCUGACUACUCAGGUCGGCUGUGAAGGCUAGUCCAGCCAUCGGGAAGGAGGAAACGGCUUCCUGCGGAUGAGGAGAAGUCCUGAGGCGCCACGCACAGCCAACAGCGCUGUGGCUGCAGAUCCCGCGGACAAG
RNA transcript from Ochotona princeps (American pika), 1753 nucleotides. It is a transcript of the gene named adrenoceptor beta 3, with no coding region annotated. The transcript has 2 exons. The record is from RefSeq and is a predicted model, not a curated record. Lineage: Eukaryota; Metazoa; Chordata; Mammalia; Lagomorpha; Ochotonidae.